GAUGGAGCAAUNCNNCGUGAGUGAAGAAGGGUUUCGGCUCGUAAAACUCUNUGUNAAAGAAGAACNNUUGAGAGUACUNUCAAGGNUGACGGUAUUUANCCAGAAANCCACGGCUAACUACGUGCCAGCAGCCGCGGUAAUACGUAGGUGGCAAGCGUUGUCCGGAUUUAUUGGGCGUAAAGCGAGCGCAGGCGGUUUUUUAAGUCUGAUGUGAAAGCCUUCGGCUUAACCGGAGAAGUGCAUCGGAAACUGGGAGACUUGAGUGCAGAAGAGGACAGUGGAACUCCAUGUGUAGCGGUGGAAUGCGUAGAUAUAUGGAAGAACACCAGUGGCGAAGGCGGCUGUCUAGUCUGUAACUGACGCUGAGGCUCGAAAGCAUGGGUAGCGAACAGGAUUAGAUACCCUGGUAGUCCAUGCCGUAAACGAUGAGUGCUAAGUGUUGGAGGGUUUCCGCCCUUCAGUGCUGCAGCUAACGCAUUAAGCACUCCGCCUGGGGAGUACGACCGCAAGGUUGAAACUCAAAGGAAUUGACGGGGGCCCGCACAAGCGGUGGAGCAUGUGGUUUAAUUCGAAGCUACGCGAAGAACCUUACCAGGUCUUGACAUCUUCUGCCAAUCUUAGAGAUAAGACGUUCCCUUCGGGGACAGAAUGACAGGUGGUGCAUGGUUGUCGUCAGCUCGUGUCGUGAGAUGUUGGGUUAAGUCCCGCAACGAGCGCAACCCUUAUUAUCAGUUGCCAGCAUUCAGUUGGGCACUCUGGUGAGACUGCCGGUGACAAACCGGAGGAAGGUGGGGAUGACGUCAAAUCAUCAUGCCCCUUAUGACCUGGGCUACACACGUGCUACAAUGGACGGUACAACGAGUUGCGAAGUCGUGAGGCUAAGCUAAUCUCUUAAAGCCGUUCUCAGUUCGGAUUGUAGGCUGCAACUCGCCUACAUGAAGUUGGAAUCGCUAGUAAUCGCGGAUCAGCAUGCCGCGGUGAAUACGUUCCCGGGCCUUGUACACACCGCCCGUCACACCAUGAGAGUUUGUAACACCCAAAGCCGGUGAGAUAACCUUCGGGAGUCAGCC
RNAcentral lists this ribosomal RNA (1070 nucleotides) under Levilactobacillus brevis. Its description in RNAcentral is "bacterial SSU rRNA". It matches the Rfam family "Bacterial small subunit ribosomal RNA", at positions 385 to 1454 of the family's 1533-position model. The record is from RNAcentral. Lineage: Bacteria; Bacillati; Bacillota; Bacilli; Lactobacillales; Lactobacillaceae.